UACGAAGGGGGCUAGCGUUGUUCGGAAUUACUGGGCGUAAAGGGCGCGUAGGCGGCCUGCUAAGUCGAACGUGAAAUCCCUGGGCUCAACCCAGGAACUGCGUCCGAUACUGGUUGGCUUGAAUUCGGGAGAGGGAUGCGGAAUUCCAGGUGUAGCGGUGAAAUGCGUAGAUAUCUGGAGGAACACCGGUGGCGAAGGCGGCAUCCUGGACCGAUAUUGACGCUGAUGCGCGAAAGCCAGGGGAGCAAACGGGAUUAGAAACCCCUGUAGUCC
Molecule: ribosomal RNA, 273 nt
Filed under: uncultured bacterium
Lineage: Bacteria
Description: partial 16S ribosomal RNA
Rfam family: Bacterial small subunit ribosomal RNA
Source: RNAcentral